AGUAUAGCGGAAGGAUUUUGGUGCGGAGAGGCAAAUUUGAAAAAAUACGGGAGCGUCACGUGAUCUCUCGUUUCGUCUCGCUCCGCUUCAAGUCACACCGUCCAUCUGAAGCAUGAAUGAACCAGAAUGUGUCUGUGUAUUGUGCUAAUAAUUAACCCGUAUGUUAAGAGCUUGAAGAUGAAGUUUACCUGGUACUUUAAAAAGGAGCCUGAGAAGAACCUGUAAAAUUAACCGAUAUGGAGUGUGCUACAUGAACACGCUGUGAAGUCGUCAACAGUCCAUGCUGCGUCAGUCAUAACAGAAUAACCGAACUCCAGCAAAAGACACCUCGCCUGACAGAGAAUGGCUAUGGCUCAGUGGUCACCUGCGGGUCCUCCGGUUCCCACUCGUUGGUCUCCUGUGGGUUCCCCCCGCUCUGACUCGUCUUCACCUCCCUUCUCACCUCCUCCAGUGUCCCCUCCAUCUUCCUCCUUGCCCCCUUCGGCAUUACCUCCGGCUCCAGCCUUGCAGUCGCCGAAGGCCCCUCCUGCUCUACCCUCACAGUCGUCCGUUGCCCCUGCGGCUUCCGCAUUUUGCCCGCUGUGGUUAGCUCCAGCUCCCCCUUUCCCCCUGGAUUCAGCUGGCGAUCAAAGAUGUAAUUAACGGGCAUGACAAAGGUGAAACGCUGAAAAUCGCACACUUGGUGAAAAGUGUGCAUAAAAGCACUCUGAUCAGAGAAAACCGACCGAUUGGGAGUACAUCCCAGAACCCAUUGCGUGACAUGAUGAUUAAAUCAGUCAUCCGGCUGUUUCAAAAACACCUGUUAUUUCAAAACAAACUGUCUAGUCUAAUGUUGCCACCAUCACCCUAAAUGACGUGUGUCAGCUGACGCACCUCGUCAAUGUAUUGCUACCACUUGCAGACCUCAGACAAAAUCCAGAAGGAGCCGGGAAUCCUAGGAAUGAUCCUGCCUGUUGUCACGGAAAUCAAAUCCCUGCUUCCUCAUGACACUGCAUUUCCAACUGGCAUUUCUGCUUUUGCAGAAACGCUACCCAACAAUGUGUGAACUCACUAUGGAAGAUAUUACACUGAUAAAUACCUCAUCUUAGCACCAUGGUUAGAGCUUUGUUUCAAGACAGAGUGGAUAAUCCAAGACAAUUGUUUAUGCAAAAUCUGUGACCUUCUCAUUGAAGAAACAGGUAAUUAAUAUUGCUACUGGGACACCUGAGACUGACAACCCAUGUACUGCUUCCCCAGAUCCUCGGCCUGACCCAAAG
Brienomyrus brachyistius is the source of this 1256-nucleotide long non-coding RNA. RefSeq lists it as uncharacterized. The transcript has 3 exons. Lineage: Eukaryota; Metazoa; Chordata; Actinopteri; Osteoglossiformes; Mormyridae. The record is from RefSeq and is a predicted model, not a curated record.